RNAcentral lists this unclassified non-coding RNA (354 nucleotides) under soil metagenome. RNAcentral's name for it is "partial contains 5.8S ribosomal RNA, internal transcribed spacer 2, and large subunit ribosomal RNA". The stretch from base 1 to 120 matches the Rfam family "5.8S ribosomal RNA", at positions 35 to 154 of the family's 154-position model. The record is from RNAcentral.
GAUGAAGAACGUAGCGAAAUGCGAUAAGUAAUGUGAAUUGCAGAAUUCCGUGAAUCAUCGAAUCUUUGAACGCACAUUGCGCCCCCUUGCAUUCCGGGGGGCAUGCCUGUCCGAGCGUCAUUUCUGCCCUCCAGCCCGGCUGGGUGUUGGGCGCUGUCCCCCCGGGGACACGCCCCAAAGGCAGUGGCGGCGCCGCGUCGGGUCCUCGAGCGUAUGGGGCUUUGUCACCCGCUCGGGACGGACUCGUCGGCGCUGGUCUUCCUCCAGGCGACCCUUCGGGGCUCGUCUUCCUUCGGUUGACCUCGGAUCAGGUAGGGUUACCCGCUGAACUUAAGCAUAUCAAUAAGCGGAGGA